This is a non-coding RNA of Populus trichocarpa (black cottonwood), 156 nucleotides long. NCBI's taxonomy places the organism in Eukaryota, Viridiplantae, Streptophyta, Magnoliopsida, Malpighiales, Salicaceae. The record is from Rfam.
UCUAUAACUCUAUAUUUGGGCUGAACACCAAAUAAUAUCUGGGUUGUAGGACAAAUUCAGUCUUCUCUUUUGUUGUUAAGAUUUAAACAUAAAAGCAGUAAUAUUAAGUCUUGAGCUCUUCAUGAAUGUUUUAGGCAUACAUCUUAGCUUUACAUC